AUCUUGAAUAUGUGGGAGAGGGGACCAUGUGCAGUGGAGAAGACCAACAGCUACUAGAAGGCCUACAAAUACCUUGCUCAAUCAUAAGGUUAAAUUCUUCACGAGCAAAUUUAAGCUUCUCAGGAGAAAGUCUUCGUGGAGUAACAGAAAUAGGAGGUCCUCUUGUAACAAUAUGAUGUUCAACUUGAUGUAACUUGUUGGAAGUCAAAGGUGCAAAAUGCGUUAAUUCAGGAAAUCUUGCAAGGAUUUUAUGGUAUUAAUCCUGGAUCCAUUAGCAGCAAACAGUUUAAAAGAUGAAGAAGAUUGAGAAAACUGAGCUAAUCUUUUAGGAAUCAAUGAAAUGUCAGCUCCGGUAUCAACAAGAAAAUUGAGUAAUGAAGUUUUAUCAGUAACAAUGAGGCGACUACAAGGUAAACCGUCACAAUCUGCCUCAUGACUCAACGGCAAAAUCAGUUUUCCGGAUUUGCAGUAAAAGCUUUAGACAUAGCACAAGAUCUCGAUCUGCUUCUAUAGCGUUUAACUUCUAAAGCGGAAAUUCUACGCUCCAAAUCAGCUAAACUAGAGGAACCAGAUUCAGGUGUAGAAGUUACAGCGGCAAUUUGUAAGCCCGAAUCUCUCUCCAAAAUCUUAUCAGCCAAUUCAGCAAGCUUGAUUAAAGGAGCUUCAUCAACAACAGCUAAAAUAGCUUGAACUCUAAGAGAAUCAGAAAAUCGAUUUAUAAGUACAUUUUUUAAAUAAAGAUAUUUAUCUCGCUCUGGAGGAUUUUCAACAAUCUCAGCAACAGCUACUAAAGCUUGUUCAUCAAGAAGCAGAUGUUCUUGAGGUUGUUCAGUCGAUGUCCCAGGAGAAGACACAGGAGAACGUUCAACAGGCAUCUCGAAGAAAGAUUUCAAAUUUCGUGCACGACAAUCGUCAGGAGAGCCAAAACGUAAACACGAUUCUUUGACAGGCUUGUCUUUUCAAUCACGUCGGGGUCACCAGUUAUGGGAAAGAUUUCCCUAUUCUAUCUUAUACUUAUGAAAUAAAUAGACUUUGUAAAGUUAUACGUGUUUACUAAUAUCAAGCUUACAAAAGAAUAAAUAAUUUCUUUUUUUAAUAAA
This 1100-nucleotide long non-coding RNA is filed under the name Monomorium pharaonis (pharaoh ant). RNAcentral's name for it is "uncharacterized LOC118647005, transcript variant X1". The record is from RNAcentral. Lineage: Eukaryota; Metazoa; Arthropoda; Insecta; Hymenoptera; Formicidae.